GAUGAACGUUGGCGGUGCGCCUAAUACAUGCAAGUCGAACGGAGACUGUAGCAAUACUGUCUUAGUGGCGAACGGGUGAGUAACGCGUUGGUGAUCUGCCUCGAAGUGUGGAAUAACGUUCCGAAAGGAGCACUAAUACCGCAUGGUCUUCUGGUUUUUAGAACGCCAGAUGUAAAGGAUUUAUUCGCUUCGAGAGGAGCCUGCGUCCCAUCAGCUAGUUGGUAAGGUAAUGGCUUACCAAGGCGAUGACGGGUAGGGGACCUGAGAGGGUGGCCCCCCACAAUGGAACUGAAACACGGUCCAUACACCUACGGGUGGCAGCAGUAGGGAAUAUUAGUAAUGGGCGAAAGCCUGAACUAGCGACACCGCGUGUGCGAAGAAGGCCUUGGGUUGUAAAGCACUUUUAGAGAGGAUGAAGGAAGGACGGUACUCUCUGAAUAAGUCUCGGCUAACUACGUGCCAGCAGCCCGGGUAAUAGUGUGUGUA
Molecule: ribosomal RNA, 486 nt
Filed under: uncultured bacterium
Lineage: Bacteria
Description: bacterial SSU rRNA
Rfam family: Bacterial small subunit ribosomal RNA
Source: RNAcentral